Molecule: long non-coding RNA, 633 nt
Filed under: Nicotiana tabacum (common tobacco)
Lineage: Eukaryota; Viridiplantae; Streptophyta; Magnoliopsida; Solanales; Solanaceae
Description: long non-coding RNA (NTAB_LNC012102)
Source: RNAcentral
UAUAUAUUCGUGUGCUAUAUAUAGCCCACGCCUUCCGAGUAAGUUCAGGCCACCAGGACCCCGAUCGACUAAAAUUAUUCCGGGCAAUCAAAUACGACCUAAGGAACAAUAGUCACCGCCCAGCCGUGGCCGUUCCUCGUUGUUUUGCAUUUACGGCAAAUAAACUAGAAUUUCGCCCGAUUCCCAUAUUUUCGUGUGCUAUAUAUAGCCCACGCCUUCCUAGUGGGUCCGGGCCCCCCGGACCCCGAUCGCCUAAAAUUUAUUUGGGCCAUCAAAUACGUCCUAAGGAACCAUAGUCACCGCCCCGCCAUGACUGUUCCUCAUUGUUUUGCUUUUUACGACCAAAAAACUAAAAUUCCUCCCGAUUCCCAUAUUUUCGUGUGCUCUAGCCCAUGCCUUCCGAGUGGGCCCGGGUCUCCCGAAACCGAAUUGCCUAACAGUUUUCUAGGCUAUCAAAUACGACCUAAGGAACCAUAGUCACCGCCCCGCCAUGGCCGUUCCUCGUUGUUUUGCGUUUUACGGCCAAAAAACUAGCAUUCCGCCCGAUUCCCAUAUAUUCGUGUGCUAUAUAUAGCCCACGCCUUCCUAGUGGGUCCGGGCCCUCCGGACCCUGAUCGCCUAAAAUUUUUCUAA